Molecule: ribosomal RNA, 253 nt
Filed under: uncultured bacterium
Lineage: Bacteria
Description: partial 16S ribosomal RNA
Rfam family: Bacterial small subunit ribosomal RNA
Source: RNAcentral
UACGAAGGGGGCUAGCGUUGCUCGGAUUGACUGGGCGUAAAGCGCACGUAGGCGGAUUGCUAAGUCAGGGGUGAAAUCCUGGAGCUCAACUCCAGAACUGCCUUUGAUACUGGCGAUCUUGAGUCCGGGAGAGGUGAGUGGAACUGCGAGUGUAGAGGUGAAAUUCGUAGAUAUUCGCAAGAACACCAGUGGCGAAGGCGGCUCACUGGCCCGGUACUGACGCUGAGGUGCGAAAGCGUGGGGAGCAAACAGG